AUGAAUAACCUCUUCUCUCUUCUUUUUUAUGUCAAUGUUGGAGCACCUUGGGGUGUCGAGGAGGGGACGCUACAAGAAGUUGAGGAGGCGCCAUAUGAAGUAAUCAAAUUACAAGACAAGAGGCCGGAUGUGCUGGAAUCAAUUAAGGCAUGGACGUGUGCAUCCGAAGAUGGGGACGCUAGGAGGCCAGUCCUUCAUUUUUUCGGAAAAAAGGAGAGUACAACAGCUAAACAAGAACAAAGAAAACUGAAACCUCAAAGGUUACGACGAGGAGGAGGUGGCAUCGACUUUAGACAAAGUGCUGCCCCUGGAUGA
Molecule: ribosomal RNA, 315 nt
Filed under: Triticum aestivum (bread wheat)
Lineage: Eukaryota; Viridiplantae; Streptophyta; Magnoliopsida; Poales; Poaceae
Description: partial small subunit ribosomal RNA
Source: RNAcentral